GGCGAGCGUAGCCAAGUGGUAAGGCAGUGGAUUGUGGUUUCAUCAUACGCGGGUUCAAUCCCCGUCGUUCGCC
RNAcentral lists this transfer RNA (73 nucleotides) under Nitella hyalina. Its description in RNAcentral is "tRNA-His". It matches the Rfam family "tRNA". Rfam says of the family: Transfer RNA (tRNA) molecules are approximately 80 nucleotides in length. Their secondary structure includes four short double-helical elements and three loops (D, anti-codon, and T loops). The record is from RNAcentral. Lineage: Eukaryota; Viridiplantae; Streptophyta; Charophyceae; Charales; Characeae.